ACCAAACCCAGCCGAGUUAACCCUUUCUUCGUUCCCUUUCAAUCCCUCCGUUGCCUCCCUCUCCAGUCUCCACACCCUGGUUUGUUUUCUUGUCUUCUUCUUCGCUAGAUCAUAUCUCUCUGGUCUUGCACUGACAAUUUAGGACUAUGCCAAAAAUACAUCUUUGGGAAUGAUUUAAGACUUGGGUUAUUGAUUCAAACUGACUCUGCUGUUUAAAAAUGGAGGAGCAAUCGUUUUUUGAUAGAAUGAUUACUCAUCUCCGUUCAACUUGCAAGUAUUAUACUGGUUAUCCAAAAGAUCUAGGGCCAUCACGGGUUAUUCAUUUUACAUCCGAGCGUGAAUUUGUCCAGCUCCUUCAUCAAGGCCACCCGGUUGUUGUUGCAUUCACUAUCAGGGGGAACUACACAAUGCAUCUUGAUAGAGUGCUGGAGGAAGCUGCUGCUGAGUUUUAUCCAAAUGUUAAAUUUAUGCGUGUUGAGUGCCCAAAAUACCCAGGGUUUUGUAUAACGCGGCAGAAACAGGACUAUCCAUUCAUUGAAAUAUUUCAUAGUCCAGAACAAGCAGCCAACGAAGGAGGGUUGCUGAUCCGAAUAUUACAAGAUAUUCUGUAAAAGUUCUACCUGCUCAUGGGCAUUCCCUAUGUCAAAUAGGUUAUGCAUAAGCAUUGUUAAUUUCAUAUGUCAGUCACUUGGUUUCAUGACAAUAAGGUUCAAUUAUGAUCUCAGUGCUUAUGGAUUUAGAGAAUUCUUCAAGCGCCAUGGGAUACAGACAUUAGAUCCAAAGUAAAGAUUUGGCUAGAUUUCUUACCUUUUCUCUUUUCUUGCUUAAGAACUGAAAUGGUUUGUUUGUUGCUUACUUUGUGGUGAACGACAUCCAACCGUGGGUGCUGUUUUUUCCCUCUCCGUCUCUUGUACCACCUCUAUAUGGUGGCGUUUAACGGCGAAAAGCCUUGUUUUUAGCAUAAAAUAAUUGAAACUCAACCAUUGCGUGUUUAAAGUUGGUCAUUAUGAUCAAAACUCAGAAAAAUUACUGUAACUUCCUUUGCAGCUCUAAUUUCCUUAUUCUAUAUGCUCUAAAAUUA
Durio zibethinus is the source of this 1081-nucleotide non-coding RNA. The record is from RefSeq and is a predicted model, not a curated record. NCBI's taxonomy places the organism in Eukaryota, Viridiplantae, Streptophyta, Magnoliopsida, Malvales, Malvaceae.